RNAcentral lists this transfer RNA (72 nucleotides) under Camelus bactrianus (Bactrian camel). It matches the Rfam family "tRNA". Rfam says of the family: Transfer RNA (tRNA) molecules are approximately 80 nucleotides in length. Their secondary structure includes four short double-helical elements and three loops (D, anti-codon, and T loops). Further hydrogen bonds mediate the characteristic L-shaped molecular structure. tRNAs have two regions of fundamental functional importance: the anti-codon, which is responsible for specific mRNA codon recognition, and the 3' end, to which the tRNAs corresponding amino acid is attached (by aminoacyl-tRNA synthetases). tRNAs cope with the degeneracy of the genetic code in two manners: having more than one tRNA (with a specific anti-codon) for a particular amino acid; and 'wobble' base-pairing, i.e. permitting non-standard base-pairing at the 3rd anti-codon position. Lineage: Eukaryota; Metazoa; Chordata; Mammalia; Artiodactyla; Camelidae. RNAcentral also lists the same sequence under 2 other names. The record is from Rfam by way of RNAcentral.
GAGGGCAUAGCUCAACGGCAGAGCGCUUGCUUAGCAUGCACGGGGUCCUGGGUUCAAUCUCCAGUACCUCCA